AGUUAAUUUUUUCAUCCAUGUCAAGUGUUAAAAACUGGUGUGGCUGAUGAAAUAACUAAUAGUUACACAUGGUGUGCCAUAUGUACCUCUUAUUGACGAAUAGAGACCAGUUUUUAACAGUAGAAAUGGACGAAAUUUUAAUA
Molecule: non-coding RNA, 143 nt
Organism: Gossypium hirsutum (cotton)
Lineage: Eukaryota; Viridiplantae; Streptophyta; Magnoliopsida; Malvales; Malvaceae
Source: Rfam